AACGAACGCUGGCGGCAUGCCUAACACAUGCAAGUCGAACGAGACCUUCGGGUCUAGUGGCGCACGGGUGCGUAACGCGUGGUAACCUGCCCUUAGGUUCGGAAGAACUCCCCGAAAGGGGUGCUAAUACCGGAUAAUGUCUUCGGACCAAAGAUUUAUCGCCUUUGGAUGGGCCCGCGUUGGAUUAGCUAGUUGGUAGGGUAAAAGCCUACCAAGGCGACGAUCCAUAGCUGGUCUGAGAGGAUGAUCAGCCACACUGGGACUGAGACACGGCCCAGACUCCUACGGGAGGCAGAAGUGGAGAAUAUUGGACAAGGGGCGAAAGCCUGAUCCAGCAGUGCCGCGUGAGUGAUGAAGGCCUUAGGGUUGUAAAGCUCUUUUACCCGGGAUGAUAAUGACAGUACCGGGAGAAUAAGCUCCGGCUAACUCCGUG
Molecule: ribosomal RNA, 433 nt
Filed under: uncultured bacterium
Lineage: Bacteria
Description: partial 16S ribosomal RNA
Rfam family: Bacterial small subunit ribosomal RNA
Source: RNAcentral